This 1572-nucleotide long non-coding RNA is filed under the name Capsella rubella. RNAcentral's name for it is "long non-coding RNA (CRUB_LNC002947)". The record is from RNAcentral. Lineage: Eukaryota; Viridiplantae; Streptophyta; Magnoliopsida; Brassicales; Brassicaceae.
AGACUUUCAAUUGAAAAGGUUAGUCACUUAUAUACUCCUUCAUCAAAAUUGUGUUUAAAUAUUCUAUUUGUGUCUAUGGUUAUAUUAGAAUGGUUUUUGUAUUGUGUAAUAAGUUUUAUGAAAUGAUAUAUAUUGUAUAAUUAGCUAUAAAAAAUACUAAAGAAAGAAAAAAAAUAUCUGUUUAUAGACCAAUGUUGAAAAUUAUUUAACUCUUUGAACUAAAAUCUAUAGAAAAAUAAAAAUAAUAAAAAUAUGUGAAUUUUUUUAUUUACUACUUCCUAUGUUCCAUUAUAUAAGAGUUUUUUUUGUCUAAAAGCAAAGAAAUUAUAAAACAAUAAAUAAUGUCUCGUUAAACAAAAUUCAACCAAUAGAAAAAAAAUACUGCAAAAUUUAAAUAAUCAAAAAUUACUAAAUCAAUAUAAUAAGUGCAUAGAAUUAAGAAAAUCUUUGUAAAAUGGAACAAAAAUAAAUAAAAGUUAAAUAAAGCUUAUAUAUUGGAACGGACGGAGUAUUUCGCAGAAAAAUGAAUUAAUACCAUUUAAUUCAUUUUUAUUCAAUUUUUAACAGGUAAACCCAUCUUUUUUUUUCUUGGCUAUACAAUCAUUUGCACUUUAAUACAUUGAAAAAGAAGAUUUAUUAACAACUUUUUUUUUUUUGAAAAGUCUAAACAAUAUCUUUAGUACAAUAUAUUGGUUGGUUAUAUUUAAGACUCUAAAUAAGCAAAAACAGAGUAGUUACGUACAAGAGUUGUUGAACCACUCGAAACAUCAUUUGUGUUAUCUAACCAAAUUUGGUCUUUUUGUGCUUCUUGUCCUAACAAAGAUAAAAUCUACUUUUUUUGAGAAGAAUCAUCAGUACGUAUUAUAUAACCCGAUAACGAAUGGUUGGAUCAAAUUGGUUUGAGCAUUAUCUCAUCUUUUUCAUCAAAUCCAAAUUAUCUUCAACUCUACAUAAACAUUCAAUUAUCGACAAGAUUAUAAUAUCACAAUAUAUCUUCUAAGCUCAUCCCCAUAAUCCAAGCCAAGACAUAAGAGAAGUAUGAAUCAAUCUUUGUUUCUCAUUUAAGUAAUGUCUACUUUUUCUUGGAUUAUAGAGACAUCCUAAAGCUUUUGUUUUCAUGCAUAUAGGUGUUGGUGUGAACGUGUUAUCGUUGGUUCACGUUUACGUACGAGAAAAGGAGAAAACAAAAGAAAAGGGUUAAUAGUUAUUUUGUCUAUUCGUGGAUAUGUCGACUCUCGAGUCAUCGUCUGGUCACGAGCCUUGUUCGUUAUCGACUUACUUACUUGCCGUGUGCGGUGGGGUAUUACUUGCACCCAUUGACUUCUAUUAAAAUCUUUCUUAAGGGUCAAGAAGAAUAUGAUAAGUAAUAAAUUAAUACGUGCCUUUGUAUACACGUACAUGUUUUAAUACGGUAACGUUUGAUUUCACUUUACUAAUUAUAUACAUUUUGGAUUCACAUGUACUAUACGUUUUCUAUUCGAAUUGAUUCAUUAUGACCUUGAUGUAAAUCAUGAUGAGUUUGAAAGUGCAUGUGUGCACGUAACUCAAGUAAAAAAAAAACAUAUACUGUAG